GAGGGAGGAGAACCAAGCUGACCUCGGUCUCCUCUGUGCUUGUGACGUGGCAGAGGCCGUGCUACGGGGCCAGGGCCACCGACCGCCAUGUGUGUGGAACCUCCUGAGCCUCGGAGGGUCUCGGCUCUCGGGAGAAGAGAGAAGGAAGUCUGCAGAAGCCAGAAAGCGAGGCCCGUGUUUUUGGGGUGCCCAGCAGACUGGUGACACAGGGUGGUCACAAAAGAGCCCAGCCGACCCUCUGGAGUCCCUCCCACCCACCCAAGUGUCCUCUGG
Molecule: long non-coding RNA, 273 nt
Filed under: Castor canadensis (American beaver)
Lineage: Eukaryota; Metazoa; Chordata; Mammalia; Rodentia; Castoridae
Description: lncRNA (ENSCCNG00000018673.1)
Source: RNAcentral